UUCAUUCAAUUCAAAUUCAACAUUUUUAUUCAUUCAUAAGUUCAAGUUUACAAUACUUUUCAAAUACAAAUAUUCAUUUAUCAAUAUUCAUUUGUUCAAGUUCAAGCACAAAAUCCCAAGGUCCAAAAUUUCGUAUAAUCACAUACAUUCAAAACAUUUUGUCCAUUAUUUUGCUAAGCCUUGAACCUUGUCCAUUUUACAAAUCCAAAGUAGUCCAAAUUGCAAUACAUCAAACCAAUGGCAUAUUUCAGUUACACAAAAUAAUGUCCACAAAACAAUUCAAAAAUCUGCCCAAAUACAAUUCAAAAACAGUUCCAAAUUGUGGUCCAAACAAAAGCAUUAAAAGCAUUCCAUAA
Non-coding RNA from Vicia faba (fava bean), 356 nucleotides. The record is from the annotation of a GenBank genome assembly. NCBI's taxonomy places the organism in Eukaryota, Viridiplantae, Streptophyta, Magnoliopsida, Fabales, Fabaceae.